AAAAUGCUAAACUAUAAGCGGGAAUAGAGGCAUUUUCUUUGUUGUAGCCGUGGAGGGAAGAGGCGAAUUCUUGAGGGUGGUUCCUGUCAAGCGCUUUGCCGGCGAAAAGAUUGAUCACCACUUGGUCUUUACUACAGAAUAUAUCUAGCCCAUGUGUUAUUCUCUUUUUUAUUUUUUGGUUUUAACAUUAUUAUUAUUAUUAUUAUUAUUAUUAUUAUUAUUAUUAUUAUUAUUAACAAAAUGGUUGAAAGACGCAAUGUCCAGUCUGGAAAUACUAACGUUUUCUAUUACAAUUUAAAACGUGUUGUUUUUUAAAGACAAAUAAUUUACAUUUUAUAAGCAACCUAUUAGUAGCCAUGUCGUAAUUUUCAAUAGUUAGAUAUUACAUAUGCAAAGGGGGUUUUCAUAAGUACUGUAAUCCUGUCAUAAAAUAAAAUCCAUGCAAUCUUGCAAUACCAUCAAAAUAAAUGCAUGUGUGUUUUAAAUGUAUUUUAGCCGAAGCUGAAAACUUACAUGCGCAAAGGUUCCCAGUUUUAGAAGUCUCAUAGUAGAAGGAAAACUGUAAAUUAGUCAGUCAAAUAGGCUACCCCAAUCUCAUUCGCGAAGCUCUGUGUAAUGAUGUUCAAGCUCAAAAUCUCUCCGAAACAGACAUAUCCCUGUUUGUUUAGAAUACACAAGAGAAACAGUAUAUAUACAUACACACACACACACACAUAUAUAUUGACUACAUAUAGUUACAUUUCUUGUCUGUUACUCUUGUCAAAACUUUUAAGAUUAAUGACCCAUGCUAAAAUACGCAGUUAGCCAUAUUGUGGAUGUGCUUUUAACGGGCACUUAAGGCCUCGGGCUUAGAUCACCCAAAGCUCUUCAUUCAUAUUGCUAUUGUCGAAAUGAAGACGUUACUUAACCACCCACACCUAAACACAUGUCAAACGUGUGCAUUUUUAUCAUAUACAAUACUAACGCGGGAAUUCCAUGAUCUUGGAUAUUUGAUCAAUAUAGAAAAUGCUUUCUUUUGCCACCAGGCCCCGUAUUUCCAUUGGAUGAGACUAGUCAUGUGACCAGGAAUUGGCUGCAAAUUCGCCCAUAGUCCUCAGUUUAGUAGACCCUGGUCCCCAUACGCUAGUAAUAUCACCAAUUAUUAAAGCCCGCAAAAACAGUCGUGGUGGGAGCGCAAAAUAAAACCGCGCCUUUUGGAUGUUAUUUUUGCGCAUUUUUUAUGUCGCUGGCCGCCCAUUUUGCUUAGGCAAAGCGAUGAAUUUUGAAUUUGAGAGGGAGAUUGGGUUCAUCAACAGCCAGCCUUCCCUUGCUGAGUGCCUGACGUCUUUCCCCGCUGUCCUGGAGUCAUUUCAAACUUCAUCAAUCAAGGACUCGACAGUAAUUCCACCUCCUUUCGAGCACACUAUCCCCAGCCUGAGCCCUUGCACAGGCAACCAGGCGCGACCGAGGAGCCAUAAGCGAACCGCCUCUAAUGGCCUCCAGCUCCGGACGCAAACCACGCCACUAUCGCAGCAGAAGCAGGGCCCGGCUCCAGCCACGGCCGGUGGCCCACUUGCCCACGAGUUCCCAUGGAUGAAGGAAAAGAAAUCGUCGAAGAAAUGCCCCAAGCCCGGAGCAGCACCCAUAGUACCCAAUGCAGCUGCCUCUCCCUCUCCAGCAUCCUCUGGUUUCAGCACCGCAGGACUCGAGUCCCCCACAGAAGUGCAAGUCGGUUUGGACAAUGGCAGCGGUUCUCGGCGUCUGAGGACAGCCUACACCAAUACACAGCUACUCGAACUGGAGAAGGAGUUCCACUUCAACAAAUAUCUUUGUCGCCCCAGAAGGGUCGAAAUUGCAGCCCUCUUGGAUUUAACCGAGCGCCAGGUCAAAGUGUGGUUCCAAAAUCGGCGGAUGAAGCACAAGCGACAAACCACGCACCACCGAGAAGGACAAGAAGGUGAGUCAGAAAGGCUCGGUUUCGAGCCACUCGAAGGCUCAGAUGCAACAUCGCCUUUCCCGAACCCACCACCGGAGCCGUCUGGUCCGACAGCAUCCAGUUCUAGUUCGGCUAGCGCAUCCGAGAGUGAGCCAUGCCUUCCGGCUUCCUGCUACAGCAAUACUGCUGACAAUAACCAGCCCACGCCCGAGGAAAGCCAGCCUAUACAGACCGAUUCGGCAGAUGGUCCUGACACAGCGGUUCACUCACCCCCGUACUCGACACCCACAGCCGAUAACCCCGGUACAAUGGCGGAGUCGCGCGAGGAAUUGCCAGAGAACGCCUUCACACAACCGCAGGACGCCAACUCACUAGCGGAUCUGAAUUUCUUUUCCGCCGACUCCUGUCUACAAAUUUCGGACGCUUUAUCGCCCAGUCUACAGAGUUCGCUGGAUAGCCCUGUAGACUUCUCCGAAGAGGAUUUUGACUUGUUUACAAGUACUCUUUGUACUAUAGAUUUACAACAUUUACAGUUUUGACAGACUUGAAAACAACAAUCGAAAUGUAUGCCAUCACAUUAGCCUAUUAUGAAUGCUUUUAACCACACCAUUUUCGAAAGAGAAGAGAAAAAUAUUUUAGGUUAUAUUCACACACAUAACUGCGAGAUGGAGGCUAAUAAAUCAUUACAGUAUUACGAUGUUGCUUAAACGAAUCCACACCGGGAUUGCUAAUGUCCAGUUUCAGCCUAAUCCACCAGAUCUGGAUCCCUUAGAUGACCUUUGAAAUGUGGCAGAACAGGAGAUUCACAGCAUGAAAGUCAACCAAUAAAUCUGCAGGAAUUGUGUGAUGCAAUUAUGUCAAAAUGGACCAGAAUCUUAAACAGUCCUGCAUUUUGUGAAAUAUAUGCUUUCAUCCAUGAAGAACUAAGGCUGUUUUGAGAAAAAAAGGAGGCCCUACCCUCUAUUAGUAUAGUGUUAAUAAAAAGUGCUCAGUGAGUAUAGUUAACUAACAGUGCCUAGAAUGAGCAAAAACGCGGUGAAGCAGCUUUUAGAUACUCAUCUGCACUGAUCUGGUAGAAAGUUCCAAAUAAUGUAUGAUCUAUAAUUACUGGUUGUAGAAGGCACCGCCAUAAUGAUGGCAACAUUUUAUUAUAAUAUUAUGCAUAGAUAUUGUUUACUUAUAUGCACUGCAGAAUUUUAUUUAAAAAAUUGGAUAAAUGAAGGUAAAUGCCUACUUCUGGUCUAAGUUUUGACUACCAUAAAACAAGGCUUAAAUGAUUCAUGAUCUGCAUAUCAGAUAUGCACAAACUUUUACCAUUUUCAAUUGAUUAUUGAAAACAUUUCUACUGACCUGCUCCUUUGUUAGUAAUUUUGCUGCACCUUUACAAUGUUUUGGUAAAGAAACAUAAUUUGCCUUGCCUUUUUUUUUUUUAAGAAACAUUGUUGAAACAUCUCAACAAUGGGCUACAACUGCUGUGAAAUAUCACCUUAUUGUGAAUUCUAAUCUAAUUGUGUAUGAUAUUAAAUUUGGAUUGUACUAACCUGUUAUGUAAUGGAUCAUUACUGCACCAUGUACCAGCGAUAUAACAAAAAAGCUGGAGUGACAGAGUGGCCCUGAUAGGACCCCCAAAUUGUUUGUACUACCUAAAUCGUGCUUUGGCUUGCAAGGAUAAAAAAUUUGGAAUGAUUGUUAUUAGUAUAAUUGUUUACUCAAAGGCUUUCAUGGAAAAGUAGUUCAGAGCAAAGAGAUGUUUCUACUAACAAUGCCAACCUGUCAAAUUCACAGGUAAUAUUGUUGCUCACAGGUGAUAUUCUUACCUCUUUACUUUGAAAUCAUUUCUCUUAAUGUGACACUAAAGGCCCUUUUACACCUGGUCACU
RNA transcript from Tachysurus fulvidraco (yellow catfish), 3794 nucleotides. It is a transcript of the gene named homeobox B2a, with no coding region annotated. The record is from RefSeq and is a predicted model, not a curated record. The transcript has 3 exons. Lineage: Eukaryota; Metazoa; Chordata; Actinopteri; Siluriformes; Bagridae.